ACGUAGGGUGCAAGCGUUGUCCGGAAUUAUUGGGCGUAAAGAGCUCGUAGGCGGUUUGUCGCGUCGGCUGUGAAAACUCGGGGCUCAACCCCGAGCCUGCAGUCGAUACGGGCAGACUAGAGUGCUGUAGGGGAGACUGGAAUUCCUGGUGUAGCGGUGAAAUGCGCAGAUAUCAGGAGGAACACCGGUGGCGAAGGCGGGUCUCUGGGCAGUAACUGACGCUGAGGAGCGAAAGCGUGGGGAGCGAACAGGA
Molecule: ribosomal RNA, 253 nt
Filed under: uncultured prokaryote
Description: partial 16S ribosomal RNA
Rfam family: Bacterial small subunit ribosomal RNA
Source: RNAcentral